GCUAUUUUGGCAGAAAAUUGUGAUAAAUUUAGAAUUUAUUUAUGUAGUAUUUACUACAAAUAGUA
This 65-nucleotide transfer RNA is filed under the name Saldula arsenjevi. RNAcentral's name for it is "tRNA-Leu". Lineage: Eukaryota; Metazoa; Arthropoda; Insecta; Hemiptera; Saldidae. The record is from RNAcentral.